CAACCCCUACGUUUAGUUGCUAACGCGUGAAGGCGAGCACUCUAGACGAACUGCCGUUGACAAAACGGAGGAAGGUGGGGAUGACGUCAAAUCAUCAUGCCCCUUAUGUUCUGGGCUACACACGUGCUACAAUGGCCGGUACAGACGGACGCAAAGCCGCGAGGUGGAGCAAAUCCUAAAAAGCCGGUCUCAGUUCGGAUUGCAGGCUGCAAUUCGCCUGCAUGAAGUCGGAAUCGCUAGUAAUCGCAGGUCAGCAUACUGCGGUCGAAUACGUUCCCGGGCCUU
Molecule: ribosomal RNA, 285 nt
Filed under: uncultured Pelotomaculum sp.
Lineage: Bacteria; Bacillati; Bacillota; Clostridia; Eubacteriales; Desulfotomaculaceae
Description: partial 16S ribosomal RNA
Rfam family: Bacterial small subunit ribosomal RNA
Source: RNAcentral